This 474-nucleotide ribosomal RNA is filed under the name Streptomyces gancidicus BKS 13-15. RNAcentral's name for it is "bacterial LSU rRNA". It matches the Rfam family "Bacterial large subunit ribosomal RNA", at positions 2344 to 2817 of the family's 2925-position model. Lineage: Bacteria; Bacillati; Actinomycetota; Actinomycetes; Kitasatosporales; Streptomycetaceae. The record is from RNAcentral.
GUUGAGUGUAAGUGCACAAGGGAGCUUGACUGUGAGACCGACGGGUCGAGCAGGGACGAAAGUCGGGACUAGUGAUCCGGCGGUGGCUUGUGGAAGCGCCGUCGCUCAACGGAUAAAAGGUACCCCGGGGAUAACAGGCUGAUCUUCCCCAAGAGUCCAUAUCGACGGGAUGGUUUGGCACCUCGAUGUCGGCUCGUCGCAUCCUGGGGCUGGAGUCGGUCCCAAGGGUUGGGCUGUUCGCCCAUUAAAGCGGUACGCGAGCUGGGUUUAGAACGUCGUGAGACAGUUCGGUCCCUAUCCGCUGUGCGCGUAGGAGUCUUGAGAAGGGCUGUCCCUAGUACGAGAGGACCGGGACGGACGAACCUCUGGUGUGCCAGUUGUUCUGCCAAGGGCAUGGCUGGUUGGCUACGUUCGGGAGGGAUAACCGCUGAAAGCAUCUAAGCGGGAAGCCUGCUUCGAGAUGAGGACUCCCAC